Rosa chinensis is the source of this 3710-nucleotide long non-coding RNA. RefSeq lists it as uncharacterized. The transcript is spliced from 4 exons. Lineage: Eukaryota; Viridiplantae; Streptophyta; Magnoliopsida; Rosales; Rosaceae. The record is from RefSeq and is a predicted model, not a curated record.
AUACAUAUAAAGCAGGGAAUUCCAAUAUUUGGCACCAAAAUCAACUUGGGGGCAUGUAACGCACCCAUUCCCAAUCGUCUCGAACACCUCUUCUUCUUCCUCCUCCUCCUCAACCCAAAAAACCCUGAUUCCCAUUUCGAGAACCCCAUUACUUACGAGGCGGUUGGUCCUCCUGUCUCUCCCUCUAGCUACUUUUUCUGCUUCCAAGUAACAGCAGCGCUGUUGAUGCAAUCGAGUCCACUUCUGCUGUCGUCACAACCUUCAACCCAAUCGGUGGUGCGGAGAGAGACGCAAGUGCUGCUAUUUCCCGGAGAAUAUCUGAAGCUUUGGACUUGUUGGAGAGAGGGAGGGACUUUCAGGCCCGCGGUGACUUUGACCAAGCUCUUCUCAGCUUUACUCAGAAUCUUACAUUUAUGUACUUAUAGACACUAUGUAAACUGAUCCUAAACCAAGUAGAAUACUAGACUACCCUUUAUGAAGUUAUUUGGUGGCAGCUUAAAACUACACCUUGAAAAUGACAAGGCCAGUGGGGGAUGGGGUUUAUGUUACGUCCUGCAAUCAUUGCUUAUGUUUGUGCGAUAGGAAGUUAGUCGAGGGGUUGAACGUGGGGAGAGAGUGGGUGAAGUUUCUCACCUUCAAUUUCCAGAUGAUACGUUUUCUUCGUUUCUGGAGAUGAAACAAAAUGGCAGAAUUUGCUAGAAAUUUUGGAUUGCUUCAGUGCGGUAUCUCGGCUAAAAAAUUAAAAAUCAAAAUGAAUGAAUACAAAGGUUAAGAAAACCGGAAAGUUUCGCCAACUCCCUAGGUUGUGAGGUUGGCCUUUGAAGUGCUUAGGUCGAAGAGGUAAUUGUAGAGCUGCAGACCUUUGGAAUCCAGUGGUGGAAAAGGGUGAAAAGCAAUAGGAUAGUUGGAAGAAAGCUUCUCUUUCAAGAGGGGAUCUCGUUUGACAUUAAUUCAAGGCAGUUUUGGAGAGUUUACCAGUGCAUUACAUGUCCUUAUUUCAAAUCGCAGAAGUGGUGGCAAGAAGGAUAGAAGACCUUAUGAUGGAGCAGAGGAGGCAGGAGAGGGCAUUAAUAAGAUGGGAGGUAGUGUCUCAGCCCAAAGAAUGAGGAGGUCCAGGAGUUGCUAGUGUGGCUGCUAGGAAUAUUUCCUUGUUAGCCAAAUGGUUAUGGUGAUUCCCAAUUGAAUAAAGUUCACCAUGGCAUAAAGUGACAAAAAGUAAAUUAGCGGUACAAGAAAAUGGGUGGAUGCGGAUAUGGCUGUAGAGAGUUAAGUAAAACCCCAUGAAAGGAUAUUCCCAAUGUUAUGUGAUUUUCUUAGAGUGCUGCACGGUGAAAGUUAGGAAUGGAAGGAGGGUGAGGUUCUGGGAGGGCAUGAAUUUCCAAGUUUGUAUUUCUUGUUUAGAUACCAUGAUACCAAGGUUACUGAUAUGGUUGAAGGGUUGGGCUUGCAAUGUGUUGGGGGUUUACGAGGAAUUUGUUCGACUGAGAUAGAGCAAUUGAUUUCAUUGUUAGGACAUUGGAGAAUAUUAUCAGAUUUAAUGGUGUGUAAGUUGGAAUCUACCGGUCUUUUCUUGCAAAUCGUAUUUCAGGUUUCCAUGUGAGAUACUUCUAUCCCAACUUCUAAGCCAAGCAGCUUUGAUUUGGAAUGCCGAAGUUCCACCCAAGAUCAAAGCUUUGGCGUGGAUUGCAGCCCAUGCUAAAAUACUUGUGACUUGCCCCGAAUAAAGGGACCAGGUGCUUGUUUAUCUCCAAAUUGGUCAUAUUAUGUGCCAAAAGAUGGGUGAAAUUUCUGAUCAGAUUCACUGUGAAGUAGCUCAGAAGCUUUGGUCUAGUCUAUUUGGUGAAGCUGACAUGGCAUGGAAUCCUCUGGUGCGGGAUGUUAAUCUCUGUUAAGCACAGCAACAAGGGGUUUCGGAGACUGGAAAAGGGAAAAAGUUUUGUGAAAUUGCUGAGUUUGGCAGUUCAACAUUGCCAGCCCCACCACCGGUUGCCAGAAGAAGCUGGAGAUCGAUGACGACCACAAACUGUAAUGUCUUUAUCGAUUUGGGUUUUGCUAAAAUGUCUUUCUUGUUCAUAUCACUUAUUUUCACUAUUAAUUUUAGUUUUCUGUAGCCACUGUGUUUGUAGUUUCAAGAGGCUUUUGGGUUUGGCCAAGUGAUGGUUUGAUAUUAGCUUUGUGUUAUUGUGUAUCAAUAGUUUGAUAUAGCAUACUUGGAUUUCUAUUUUUUUAAUUAAAAAGUGGUUUUUAUGGCUUUUGGGUAAAUGUUAUUGUAUUAUUUCUGGGAGAUGUUUUACUUUUGUCCAAAAAUCAAAAUGGGGUGGAAAUGCAAAUGGGUUUCUUCUGUAUUCUGGUUCAGAACGCUCAACAAAUCUUUUUAUCCUGGACAUUCUUUUUAAUAAAGCAAUGAUUUUUCUGAUUGUGUCCUGUUUUCUCUCACUUUACAAUGAUUUCUCUUUUAAGAAAGUUAUUGAAACAAUAAUGGAAAUCAGCAGAAUAAAAAGAAAAAUGAAAUUUGAGGCAAUAUCGUGAAAUUUGAGCCUUUUUUGUUACGAUGAAACACUAUUUCAGUGGCUGGGCAUAGCAUAAAAUUUGACUGCUUUUGCUUCAACUGAGUUAUCUCAGACUUAAAUGUAAUUUCUUCAUUGUUAAUUGUUUAGAAGCAUUUCAUUAUCAUACAUGCUCACAGCUUUUGUUGUCUAAGAUCUAACACUACUAUUCUGAUUUCUGAUUCUCAUCAGAGCCCAGAUGGGGAUAUAAUAAACUGUGUUCACAUCUCUCAGCAACCUGUUUUUUAAUAAUCCUUUCCUCAAAGACCACAAAACUGAGGUUCAUUUUGCUCAACCAUGAACCUUUCUAAGUGUUUUGGAUCUGUUUAGUUUGCUAGAUGAGGCCUAACUACCACCCAGAAGGCUCAAUAUCAAGAAAACAAAGUAAUUGAAAAGCUCAAUGUCUGGGAGCCCAAGAUUCAACAGCCUAAUGAGUUCACCUUCUCUCAGCUUUGGAUAUCAGGAGGGUUUUUUGGUGAAGACCUGAACAACAUUGAACCUGUUUGGCAGGUCAGCACAGAUCUCUAUGGUGACAGCAACACAAGAUUGUUUACCUCUUGGACUGUAAGCUCUUGUAAAAAUACUUGCUCGUACUUUUUUUUGUGUAUGUCUACAUUUGGGCUCUGUUCCCUUGUCUCGUCGCCUUUCCCUACUUUUCAUGGCUGUGUUUACAGAGUGAUGCAUAUCAAACCACUGGUUGCUACAACCUCCUGUGCUGAGGCUUUAUUCAAAUCAAUAGUGAAAUAGCAAUGGGCACAAGCAUCUUUCCUGUGUUGAGCUACAGAACUUCCCAAUAUGAUAUCAGCAUACUUGUCCUUGUCUGAAAGGUAAUUAAAAUCACAUUACCUGCUACUUCCAGUUAGGUUUUUAUUUGUAGGACUACAACUUGGUGAGGCACAAGAAGUUGUUAAGGGUUAUUUGGUAUUAUGAACUAAUCCUUGCUUUUAGGACAACAACCACAAGUUGUUAUAGGUUCGAUUCAGUUCAUAGGGCUGUGACAAUGAGUUACAAUCUUGUAGAGUGGAUGAGGGAAAUGAAUGUAAAGUAGUGUGGGAAAUGGAUUAAAGUAGUUGUUAAGGUUUGUUUUUGCUUCCUAUGGAUUUUUCUUUGCUUGUAAGCAAAUUUUAUAUGAUUUAUAAUAAUUAUAUAAAUUGUUGUAAAUAA